Long non-coding RNA from Platichthys flesus (European flounder), 2686 nucleotides. RefSeq lists it as uncharacterized. The record is from RefSeq and is a predicted model, not a curated record. The transcript has 2 exons. NCBI's taxonomy places the organism in Eukaryota, Metazoa, Chordata, Actinopteri, Pleuronectiformes, Pleuronectidae.
UUUUGGAGAAGCACGCGCGUCACGUCACCCCAUCGUGAGAGACCACACUGUUGGAUUCCACCACUUGUUGACAGCAGGAGCCUCCGCGCUGCACAUGGCUCGUGUUACUAUACCUUCUGCUCUUUGGGUUUUUCCCCCCUCUUCUUCUUCUUCUUCUUCUUCUUUUUUGUUUCCUCCUCUCUUUCUGGCAGCAGGCGCACAGAGUCGCUGUCAUUCCGCGCAACACUCGCCCACAGAGGAGGAAUCCAGAGAGUCGACUUGUUGCGGCUGCGUCCCGGAGCUGUCAAACACUGCGCACAGCCUCCAGCCCGCGGAGCCUCCGGACCGAUCCAAGCGGACAAACAACCGGGCCCGCGAUCCUCGUCCUUCUCUCGGUCUCAUUUUGGGUUGUUUUUAAAAACUCCAGUCUGGUUUUUUGGAAAAUCUUUAUUUUUUUUUUUGCUCCUGUCACAUGGCUGCUGGGAGAAUUCAAUAACAACAAAAAAUGGCGACAAUCACGUUGCUCCGUGUGGUCUUGCUGCGUCAUUAAAGAUAUUCACGUAAACACGGGGCGCUGACCGGGGGAGACAGUGGAGCCCCUGUGCAAGCUAAUGGAGUUGUUUACAAGAAGUGCGGAGGGGCGGGGCGAGGAGGAGGAGGAGCCGUGACGUCGCGGGCGACGCGACCUGACUGUUCGAGAGGCUGCACGCGCCAGGGGGAGGCAGGGAGCAGGAUCAUAACAAGUCUGACGUCACUCGGCCUGUGGUUGGAAUGAAUAAUUUACAGAGGGUAAAAAAGUAAUUUAAAAAAAAGUGGUUUUCCUCCAUCAGGAAAAGAGGUGAAGGUGCAAAUAUGGAGCUCAUUUUUUAAUUUUGUGUUUCAAUAUUUUACCAAUUAGAGUGCGAGUCAUUUUCAUCUCCAGGGUAGUAAAUAAAUAAUAACUUUAUUUGACUUUAUUUAUAGAGGGCUUAUUAAUAAUCUAAGUUACAAAGUGCCUUAUGCAAGGGCGGCAAAAUAUAACAGAUUAAGGAUCACAAUUAUUUUAAGACAAUGUUUAUUUCAAAGUACUCAACUCAAAGAACUCAAAAACAAAUGGAAUUCUUUUAAAUAACUUAAAAAAAUUCAAUGAAAUAGAAUUGAAAUUCAGUUAAAAUCUAUUUUGCAGACAGUCAGCAAAUCGAAAUGUAGCUAAUUAAAAAAUAUAUAUUUAUUAUAUUUUAUUGUAUUACAUAAUGGAAGCAAGCAUUUUAAAUUUUUGUCUCUAAUUUAACAAGGAGACUAAACCAAUUUCCAGCAAUCGGAUCCUGUUUCAGACUCGAUCACAGAAGUAAAGUGUAGUACGGUUAAGUUGAUAAGAUAAAAUACGAUUAGAUAAAAUAUUGAUUCACUUGUUACAGCACAAAAUAGUCAGAAUGAGGUAGACCAGACAGUAAAUAAGGCAGUAAAAUAAAAAUAGAAAAUGUAAUUAAAAUUCAGAGAAUAAGUACAUAAAAUACACUUUCCACCAGGGAAAUUGUGUAGGGAAAUGAACUUGAGUAAAGUGCAGUGUGCAAAACAGUAAACUGUGUUUGUGCAUAAGUAUAAGGACUGUAAUAGACGUAAUUAUAUAAGUGGCAAAAUACCAAUAAAGUUUAAAAAAAAGAGUAGUAGCCAAUGCAUAUAAAUUACUUUAAACAGACAAACAUAUAAAAAAAUCAAUACAUAUAUCAAUAAAUACAUUUUUUUAAAAGAAUGCUCUGUUAUAGUUAUAGCUACAAUGGUUUGUCCAAUGAUUGAUGAGUCGACAAACAAGAUUCAUUCUGAGAUCGGAAUAAUCAUUUUAUUGCCAAAAUGCUAAAUAUUUUCAUAUAACAGCUACUCUAAUGUCCUGGUUGGCUGCUUUUGAUUUAUAAUACACUCGAUUAAAUGUCUUUUUACUACUUGUCAAAUUUGUUAUCAACUUAAAAAGCUAAUUGAUUAAUCCAAACAAAUUGAUAAUAUCAAUUAUUUAUUCAACAUUUACUUUCUACAUCUACUCUUAGUUGUACAAUAUAACGACCAAUGUAUGGUGACAUUAUUUUUUCGAACAGGCAAAUUAAAUAAAUAAAUCAGACUAAAUAAGUUGCUAAGAUCCUUUAACAAUGUCCUGGUUUGCAUGCACGUAGGAGCUUGUUCUUUCCUCUAAUACUUACUGCUGAGCCACUUUCCCUUUAUAUAACUUUUAAGAGAAGGAUAUGGUUUCAAGGAAAUUCAGAAAAUAAGAAAUAUUUGAGCCUGUGGCAACAUAAAUAUGUGACACGUACAAAACCUUGUAUAUUGUAAGAUUCAACCAAAUGUCCAGCAUAUUUGCAAAAGGAAAACUGUUUUAGUUGAGCUGGGAUACUAUGGACUGGAUGACGGAGUGGAGCUGUGCACUAAUAGACUUGUCAGACUGCCCUGGUUCAGUUAUCACAGUGCUGAUGCUGUCCCCAUCGAAGGUACAGUACUGUGAUAACUGAAGGAUGGCUGCCAACUUGACUCCAGUGCCGAGGACCAAGGUGCAUUCCCCUAAUGAUCCAGAGGAGCAGAGAGGAGCUCACCAAGCGUGAGUAUGUGAUUAAAACAGAAAAUUGAGUUGUGACUAAUCUUGUUAUUGUGUGUUAAAGUGCAAGAAGUAUCCCAACUUGUAUGUUAUACUUGUACUUCCUUCUUGAAUAUAAGAAAUAAAGUGAACUGUCAAUUAUUGAAA